GACGAACGCUGGCGGCGUGCUUAACACAUGCAAGUCGAACGGAAAGGCCCUGCUUGCAGGGUACUCGAGCGGCGAACGGGUGAGUAACACGUGGGUGAUCUGCCCUGCACUUCGGGAUAAGCCUGGGAAACUGGGUCUAAUACCGGAUAGGAGCCAUUUUUAGUGUGAUGGUUGGAAAGUUUUUUCGGUGUAGGAUGAGCUCGCGGCCUAUCAGCUUGUUGGUGGGGUAAUGGCCUACCAAGGCGGCGACGGGUAGCCGGCCUGAGAGGGUGGACGGCCACAUUGGGACUGAGAUACGGCCCAGACUCCUACGGGAGGCAGCAGUGGGGAAUAUUGCACAAUGGGCGCAAGCCUGAUGCAGCGACGCCGCGGGGGGGAUGACGGCCUUCGGGUUGUAAACUCCUUUCGCUAGGGACGAAGCUUUUUGUGACGGUACCUAGAUAAGAAGCACCGGCUAACUACGUG
This 465-nucleotide ribosomal RNA is filed under the name uncultured bacterium. RNAcentral's name for it is "partial 16S ribosomal RNA". It matches the Rfam family "Bacterial small subunit ribosomal RNA", at positions 28 to 507 of the family's 1533-position model. The record is from RNAcentral.